UUUGACCUCGGAUCAGGUAGGAAUACCCGCUGAACUUAAGCAUAUC
RNAcentral lists this ribosomal RNA (46 nucleotides) under Coniella sp. STE-U 3828. RNAcentral's name for it is "partial 28S ribosomal RNA". Lineage: Eukaryota; Fungi; Ascomycota; Sordariomycetes; Diaporthales; Schizoparmaceae. RNAcentral also lists the same sequence under 34 other names. The record is from RNAcentral.